RNAcentral lists this ribosomal RNA (476 nucleotides) under uncultured bacterium. RNAcentral's name for it is "bacterial SSU rRNA". It matches the Rfam family "Bacterial small subunit ribosomal RNA", at positions 28 to 509 of the family's 1533-position model. The record is from RNAcentral.
GACGAACGCUGGCGGCGUGCUUAACACAUGCAAGUCGAGCGGUAAGGCCCUUUCGGGGGUACACGAGCGGCGAACGGGUGAGUAACACGUGGGUGACCUGCCCUCAGCUCUGGGAUAAGCCUGGGAAACCGGGUCUAAUACUGGAUAUGACUCCAUGACGCAUGUUGUGGGGUGGAAAGCCUUGUGCGGCUGAGGAUGGGCCCGCGGCCUAUCAGCUUGUUGGUGGGGUGANGGCCUACCAAGGCGACGACGGGUAGCCGGCCUGAGAGGGCGACCGGCCACACUGGGACUGAGACACGGCCCAGACUCCUACGGGAGGCAGCAGUGAGGAAUAUUGCGCAAUGGGCGAAAGCCUGACGCAGCGACGCCGCGUGGGGAUGAAGGUCUUCGGAUUGUAAACCCCUUUCGGGAGGGAAGAUGGGACGAGCAAUCGUUCGGACGGUACCUCCAGAAGCAGCCACGGCUAACUUCGUGCC